UGGGGAAUAUUGGGCAAUGGGCGCAAGCCUGACCCAGCCACGCCGCGUGAGUGAUGAAGGCCUUCGGGUCGUAAAGCUCUGUGGGGAGGGACGAACAAACCGUGAGCUAAUAACCACGGUCCUGACGGUACCUCCUUAGCAAGCACCGGCUAACCCUGUGCCAGCAGCCGCGGUAAUACAGGGGGUGCAAACGUUGCUCGGAAUCAUUGGGCGUAAAGCGCACGUAGGCGGUUAUUUAAGUCGGAUGUGAAAGCCCUUGGCUCAACCGAGGAAGUGCAUCCGAAACUGAAUAGCUGGAGUACGAAAGAGGGUCGCGGAAUUCCCGGUGUAGAGGUGAAAUUCGUAGAUAUCGGGAGGAACACCGGUGGCGAAGGCGGCGACCUGGGUCGAUACUGACGCUGAGGUGCGAAAGCGUGGGGAGCAAACAG
RNAcentral lists this ribosomal RNA (428 nucleotides) under uncultured bacterium. RNAcentral's name for it is "bacterial SSU rRNA". It matches the Rfam family "Bacterial small subunit ribosomal RNA", at positions 355 to 775 of the family's 1533-position model. The record is from RNAcentral.